Molecule: long non-coding RNA, 1145 nt
Filed under: Zea mays
Lineage: Eukaryota; Viridiplantae; Streptophyta; Magnoliopsida; Poales; Poaceae
Description: long non-coding RNA (ZMAY_LNC000642)
Source: RNAcentral
CCCAUUCCUUCUCGAUUGUGAUCCCAGGAAGACUACAGCCAGGUACGCCCAUCACUAAAUCUUUUAUGUCACAUGCUUCAAGGUUCAUCUAUGAAUUAGUACAUAGUGGAAUGAUUUACAACAGUUCGCUUGUUUACUGCCACUUUUUGUUGCAAAAUAAUACAAAACAAAGAUACUAGCCGGUUCGGUUAGGAAAUCAUGUUGCGGUGGAUCCUUGUUAUAACCUGGUAAUGUAGAUGAAUUCUUUCAUGUCAGUACGUAAAUUGUUAUAUGCACUUCCCCAUAUAUUUCAUUCAACGAAACAAGAAGCAGUCGUUUCGAACCAGCUUAAGUUUUGUGAAGUCCUAUUGGUAUCAUAUAUUUUCAUUGAAAGUAAAUAUGACCUUGUAUGCAAUUGUAGGGUUGUCAUAAAGAAAAUAUUGUGGCCUUGCAUCCACCGACACCUUGUGCUUGCAGGGUUGUCAUUAAGCUUCUCUGCAGCUACAUCACCCAUGCCUCUGUGUGCAAUUGUAACCCAAGUGUGUCAGUGUUCAGACUUCAGACAUGGAUCAAAACUCAUUUUAUGAUGAUUAAACAUUUUGCUCCCUUUUGUUCUACACAAAGAUGGGGAGAUGCUACAAGAAGGAGAUCUUCAAGGACCAUGUGCAGAAGGACGUCCUGGUCUUGGCGCAAAACAUCAAGACAAGGAAGGGGUGAAGGAGCUGCUGGCAAGAGUGAGUCGACGAUCAACCCCGAUUCAGCAAGACAUCCUGUUAAGAUUGAAAUGGUGAAGGCUGUGGAGGAUGUUAAGGUCGUCGGAAACACGGAGUGAUCAGGUGAUUGCUGAUUGGACAAUAGGGGUGCCCAUUUUGUAAUGAUGUAAUAGGCUAAAUGCCGUCGUUUUUACAGACACAGUAGCCGUGGGUUAAGUGUCCAAGGUGAUUUACCUCUGCCCUGUUUCCGGUGUCUUAGCUUGAUUGUAUAGCUUUUGGGGUGGAGGAUGUGAUGGAGCAAAGGGGUUAAAACAAGUUGAUUUCUGCUACCCAAGGAAUUCUCCAGUUGCUUACAUUUCGCUUUUGGCAUACUUCAUAGUCAAUUACUGUCCACGGAUGCUUGCACAUGUGAAACUGAGGAACAUUUACUUCGAAUAUCAUUAUUGGUUUGGC